Molecule: ribosomal RNA, 510 nt
Filed under: uncultured bacterium
Lineage: Bacteria
Description: partial 16S ribosomal RNA
Source: RNAcentral
GGAGUUAGCCGGUGCUUCUUCUGCGAGUAACGUCACAGAUGUAAGGUAUUAACUUACACCCUUUCCUCCUCGCUGAAAGUGCUUUACAACCCGAAGGCCUUCUUCACACACGCGGCAUGGCUGCAUCAGGGUUUCCCCCAUUGUGCAAUAUUCCCCACUGCUGCCUCCCGUAGGAGUCUGGGCCGUGUCUCAGUCCCAGUGUGGCUGAUCAUCCUCUCAGACCAGCUAGGGAUCGUCGCCUAGGUGAGCCUUUACCUCACCUACUAGCUAAUCCCACCUGGGCUUAUCCAUCAGCGCAAGGCCCGAAGGUCCCCUGCUUUCCCCCGUAGGGCGUAUGCGGUAUUAGCAGUCGUUUCCAACUGUUAUCCCCACAAAUGGGCAAAUUCCCAGGCAUUACUCACCCGUCCGCCGCUCGUCAUCUUCAAAGCAAGCUUUUGAAAUGUUACCGCUACGACUUGCAUGUGUUAGGCCUGCCGCCAGCGUUCAAUCUGAGCCAUAAUCAAACUCUGA